GACGAACGCUGGCGGCGUGCCUAAUACAUGCAAGUUGAGCGAUGAAGAUUGGUGCUUGCACCAAUUUGAAGAGCAGCGAACGGGUGAGUAACGCGUGGGUAAUCUGCCUUUGAGCGGGGGACAACAUUUGGAAACGAAUGCUAAUACCGCAUAACAACUUUAAACAUAAGUUUUAAGUUUGAAAGAUGCAAUUGCAUCACUCAAAGAUGAUCCCGCGUUGUAUUAGCUAGUUGGUGAGGUAAAAGCUCACCAAGGCGAUGAUACAUAGCCGACCUGAGAGGGUGAUCGGCCAAAUUGGGACUGAGACACGGCCCAAACUCCUACGGGAGGCAGCAGUAGGGAAUCUUCGGACAUGGACGAAAGUCUGACCGAGCAACGCCGCGUGAGUGAAGAAGGUUUUCGGAUCGUAAAACUCUGUUGGUAGAGAAGAAAGUUGGUGAGAGUGGAAAGCUCAUCAAGUGACGGUAACUACACAGAAAGGGACGGCUAACUACGUG
Molecule: ribosomal RNA, 497 nt
Filed under: uncultured bacterium
Lineage: Bacteria
Description: partial 16S ribosomal RNA
Rfam family: Bacterial small subunit ribosomal RNA
Source: RNAcentral